RNAcentral lists this non-coding RNA (29 nucleotides) under Rattus norvegicus (Norway rat). Lineage: Eukaryota; Metazoa; Chordata; Mammalia; Rodentia; Muridae. The record is from RNAcentral.
UCUGCAUUUCUCUGCACUGGUGUGCUCUA